CAGGGCAUUCAAAUGCUUAUAAAUAGGGGUCUACAUUUUCAUUUGUAGAUCAUCCCAAAACUUCUUCUUUCUCUCUUCAAUUAAUAAAGAGCUAUUCUUUGUGUGGCCGUGGAGUAGGCAAAAAUUGCCGAACCACGUAAAUCUUGUCUUGUCUUGUCUUGUGCAAUUUAUUGCUUUUCUCUCUUAAAUAUCCUUUUCCUUCUAUUAUCUUGACACGCUUCCUCAACAUCCCGCACCCGCUCUCGUCCCGUGUCAAGACGGGUGCGGCACCAAAAACGAAGAGUCCGCACAACUUAAAUUAACACUUGAAGUUGUAGUCCCAAUGUCAAGGAUCUUUACUGUUGUUAUAUGCAUACUUACUCAAGAGGCCUAAAGGGCAGCCCGAUGCACUAAGCUCCCGCAAUAGGCGGGGUUCAGGGAAGGGCCGGACCACAAGGGUCUAUCGUACACAGCCUUACUGUGCAUCUUCACUGUUGUUAUAUGCAUACUUACUCAAGAGGCCUAAAAGGCAGCCCAGUGCACUAAGUUUCGGCUAUAAGCGGGGUUCAGGGAAGAGCCGGAUCACAAGGGUGUAUCGUAAGCAGUCUUACCCUAUAUUUUUGCAAGAAGUUAUUUUCACGGCUCAAACCCGUGACCUCAAGAGGCCUAAUUGUCAAUAAUAUCAAGCAAUCUGGUUCCAAACAUGGACAAAAGAGAACUUCAACCAUAAGAGUGACUUCAUCGCUGAUGUAGAGGAUGAGCUUCGUGGGGUAGAAACAGUAAUAAAGGUAACAUUUAUGCACUCACCGCAAAUUAACUUCUAGUGGAAUUGACUGACGCACAUUGUGAUAUUCAAAAUUGGAUAUAGUUUCUGUCACAACAAUAUUUUAUUGAUGAUUACUCUUGUCGUUACAAUGAUAGGUUGAUAACAUGAUUGUGCUCAUGGAUUUGUAACAUUGCAUACAAACUCUCUAGAUUACUUAUAGGUCUGAAAAUGUUCCCAUUGAUUUGUGUUAGUUGCUACUUACAACAAAUGGACUCCGGACUUUGUACUUACCAUUUGUCCAAGUAAUUGAGCCAAACAGAUCCUCCUUUGAGGGAGAUGAAGCUUUGAAAGACACUUCAUAGCUUAAUUUCUUGCUUUUAUAAUUAAAUUCCAAUUUACUUGGAAUCACUUGGACUUCCAAUCCUUUUGGUGCCUCAAUGAUUGCAGUAUAUACUGAUGCUUCUUCACCAGUAUUUGUAACUGUUCUAGUAACUUUCUUCGGCUCGUUUUCUUUGAGACUAGAAAUAGCUAUUGAUGGAUAAUUCAUAUUAGAAACCAAUUCAGAGGUUGGGUUUUUUGGGCAUGAAAAGUCCUUAGGAACUGUACUUGAGAUCAGCUUUAUCUGUGAUAUGUUAAAGCCAGCAGAACAUAGGAACUGCAAGUAGUCGGCGACAUCUGUCUCGUAGACUAGACCUGGUUUUAAUGGACCUGAAGUGCUUGCUUCUCCUGCACCUAUGUCAUAUGGUGUUGCUUUGGAUCCUGAGACUGUAGUGAUUGGAGCCUUCAAAUUGUUUAUCUGAAUAGCUGUUGAAAAUUUGGAGUAAGCAACGGUAUCACUAAAACAAAAAAAUAGUUACUAGUUUACUUUUAUUAGGUUCUUUACCUGUGGUCAUAAUAGCUGAUUUGACAGCUGAAGGACUCCAG
Molecule: long non-coding RNA, 1669 nt
Filed under: Nicotiana tabacum (common tobacco)
Lineage: Eukaryota; Viridiplantae; Streptophyta; Magnoliopsida; Solanales; Solanaceae
Description: long non-coding RNA (NTAB_LNC013792)
Source: RNAcentral